RNAcentral lists this ribosomal RNA (491 nucleotides) under uncultured bacterium. Its description in RNAcentral is "partial 16S ribosomal RNA". It matches the Rfam family "Bacterial small subunit ribosomal RNA", at positions 28 to 507 of the family's 1533-position model. The record is from RNAcentral.
GAUGAACGCUAGCUACAGGCUUAACACAUGCAAGUCGAGGGGAAACGAUGAGAGAGCUUGCUCUCUUAGUCGUCGACCGGCGCACGGGUGAGUAACGCGUAUCCAACCUGCCUCUGACCAAGGGAUAACCCGUCGAAAGUCUGACUAAUACCUUAUGCAGUCGUCGGAAGUCAUCUGAUGACGACGAAAGAUUUCAUCGGUGAGAGAUGGGGAUGCGUCUGAUUAGCUUGUUGGCGGGGUAACGGCCCACCAAGGCGACGAUCAGUAGGGGUUCUGAGAGGCAGGUCCCCCACAUUGGAACUGCGACACGGUCCACACUCCUACGGGAGGCAGCGGUGAGGAAUAUUGGUCAAUGGGCGUAAGCCUGACCCAGCCAAGUAGCGUGCAGGAUGACGGCCCUAUGGGUUGUAAACUGCUUUUAUGCGGGGAUAAAGUGAGGGACGUGUCCUUCAUUGCAGGUACCGCAUGAAUAAGGACCGGCUAAUUCCGUG